CCUACGGGUGGCUGCAGUGAGGAAUAUUGGUCAAUGGACGCGAGUCUGAACCAGCCAAGUAGCGUGCAGGAUGACUGCCCUAUGGGUUGUAAACUUCUUUUAUAUGGGAAUAAACUGUUCCACGUGUGGGUUUUUGUAUGUAUCAUAUGAAUAAGGAUCGGCUAACUCCGUGCCAGCAGCCGCGGUAAUACGGAGGAUCCGAGCGUUAUCCGGAUUUAUUGGGUUUAAAGGGAGCGUAGGCGGAUGGUUAAGUCAGUUGUGAAAGUGUGCGGCUCAACCGUGAAAUUGCAGUUGAUACUGUCAGUCUUGAGUACAGUAGAGGUAGGCGGAAUGCGUGGUGUAGCGGUGAAAUGCUUAGAGAUCACGAAGAACACCGAUUGCGAAGGCAGCUCACUGGACUGCAACUGACACUGAGGCUCGAAAGUGUGGGUAUCAAACAGGAUUAGAUACCCGAGUAGUC
Molecule: ribosomal RNA, 460 nt
Filed under: uncultured bacterium
Lineage: Bacteria
Description: partial 16S ribosomal RNA
Rfam family: Bacterial small subunit ribosomal RNA
Source: RNAcentral